AUGGAUUUAUAAAGGCGAUUGGCCCAGCUGAUGUGAUCCAAAAACAGUUUUCUGGAGAAACUUUUGAAGAAAGAAUCGACUGCUCUGGGAAAUGUAUCCUACCAGGUCUGGUGGAUGCACACACACAUCCCGUGUGGGCUGGAGACAGAGUGCCCGAGUUUGCAAUGAAGUUGGCAGGGGCCUCCUACAUGGACAUCCAC
Molecule: long non-coding RNA, 200 nt
Organism: Fukomys damarensis (Damara mole-rat)
Lineage: Eukaryota; Metazoa; Chordata; Mammalia; Rodentia; Bathyergidae
Exons: 3
Source: RefSeq, a predicted model, not a curated record